Molecule: long non-coding RNA, 332 nt
Organism: Ipomoea nil (Japanese morning glory)
Lineage: Eukaryota; Viridiplantae; Streptophyta; Magnoliopsida; Solanales; Convolvulaceae
Exons: 3
Source: RefSeq, a predicted model, not a curated record
AUCAGAAGAGCAAUUCACUCGUGCUCCUCUCACAAAAUUGGAGAAAAAGAAAAUGAAACAUCUAAAGAAGUCACGAAAUGGGUUGCUUGGCCUGACUGAGAGUUUCUAUGAUGAGAUGAAGACUUUACCUUUUGAAGAAGGUGUUUCCGAUCGAAAGGACUUGGGAAGUUGUGGUACUAUUGAAAGAAAGCAGAAGAAAUGCAAGAGAAAGAACUAACCAACUUGAAGAUACUGGACCAACAGAUUUCACUCGAGGAAUGGUUAAAUGUCUCUUCAAAUGGUUUAUCAAGCAGGAAUUGCUUUGGCAAUGGCAAGUUUUUUUUUUUCCUCCA